UACGUAGGAUGCGAGCGUUAUCCGGAAUUGUUGGGUGUAAAGAGUGUGUAGGCGGUAAAUUAAGUCUAAGGUCUAAGCCCGGAGCCCAACUCCGGUUCGCCUUAGAAACUGAUUUUCUUGAGUAUGGUAGAGGCAAACGGAAUUUCUAGUGUAGCGGUAAAAUGCGUAGAUAUUAGAAGGAACACCAGUGGCGAAGGCGGUUUGCUGGGCCAAAACUGACGCUGAGACACGAAAGCGUGGGGAGCAAACA
This 250-nucleotide ribosomal RNA is filed under the name uncultured prokaryote. Its description in RNAcentral is "partial 16S ribosomal RNA". It matches the Rfam family "Bacterial small subunit ribosomal RNA", at positions 524 to 774 of the family's 1533-position model. The record is from RNAcentral.